CCGAGCUACCCUGCCGGCAGCACAGAGUGAACAGCGCCGUGCACCCAUCUGGGCCUGACCUGCCUACAUUGUUAGCCUAAAAUACUUUUAUCUGCGCAGCAGAGAAAAAGGAGCACAGACCUCACAGACAGACAGAUUGGGCUCAACAUGCACCUGGGCCUUGAGGAGAAUCUGCCUGUGCAGGGAGGCUCACAUGCUGACCGCGAGCAGACGGAACAAUCCUCGUUUGUUCAUGGAGAAACAAGACCACGGGUGACUCUGGGUAACUGAGACCUCAGGAAGUGAAACCUCAGAUAAAGGAAGCUCGGUCUGUGCAUCUGGGGUCCUGGUAAAAUCAUUUUGGGUGGCUCUCUGGCUUCUGGUCCCGAGUUUUGGAACUCACCUGUAGAAGGUACCCAUGUUGCUUGCAAAGGUAAAUCUCUUCC
RNAcentral lists this long non-coding RNA (425 nucleotides) under Homo sapiens (human). RNAcentral's name for it is "HSALNT0372120". Lineage: Eukaryota; Metazoa; Chordata; Mammalia; Primates; Hominidae. The record is from RNAcentral.